This 265-nucleotide ribosomal RNA is filed under the name uncultured Syntrophus sp. Its description in RNAcentral is "partial 16S ribosomal RNA". It matches the Rfam family "Bacterial small subunit ribosomal RNA", at positions 1117 to 1382 of the family's 1533-position model. The record is from RNAcentral. Lineage: Bacteria; Pseudomonadati; Thermodesulfobacteriota; Syntrophia; Syntrophales; Syntrophaceae.
GCUAACAUUCAGUUGAGAACUCUAAUGAGACUGCCAGUGAUAACUGGAGGAAGGUGGGAUGACGUCAAAUCAUCAUGCCCCUUAUGACCUGGGCUACACACGUGCUACAAUGGCCGGUACAAAGAGUUGCGAAACUGUGAAGUUAAGCUAAUCUCAUAAAAGCCCAUCCUCAGUUCGGAUUGAAGUCUGCAACUCGACUUCAUGAAGUUGGAAUCGCUAGUAAUCGUGGAUCAGCAUGUCACGGUGAAUACGUUCCCGGGUCGUU